Molecule: ribosomal RNA, 433 nt
Filed under: uncultured bacterium
Lineage: Bacteria
Description: partial 16S ribosomal RNA
Rfam family: Bacterial small subunit ribosomal RNA
Source: RNAcentral
AACGAACGCUGGCGGCAUGCCUAACACAUGCAAGUCGAACGAGACCUUCGGGUCUAGUGGCGCACGGGUGCGUAACGCGUGGGAACCUGCCCUUAGGUUCGGAAUAACUCCCCGAAAUGGGUGCUAAUACCGGAUAAUGUCUUCGGACCAAAGAUUUAUCGCCUUUGGAUGGGCCCGCGUUGGAUUAGCUAGUUGGUAGGGUAAAAGCCUACCAAGGCGACGAUCCAUAGCUGGUCGGGGAGGAUGAUCAGCCACACUGGGACUGAGACACGGCCCAGGCUAAUACGGGAGGAAGGAGGGGGGAAUAAUGGACAAUGGGCGAAAGACUGAUCCAGCAAUGCCGCGUGAGAGAUGAAGGCCUUAGGGUUGUAAAGCUCUUUUACCCGGGAGGAUAAUGACAGUACCGGGAGAAUAAGCUCCGGCUAACUCCGUG